This 547-nucleotide ribosomal RNA is filed under the name uncultured archaeon. RNAcentral's name for it is "bacterial SSU rRNA". It matches the Rfam family "Archaeal small subunit ribosomal RNA", at positions 332 to 879 of the family's 1478-position model. The record is from RNAcentral.
UGAGCAGGCGCGAAAACUCUACAAUGCAGGCAACUGCGAUAGGGGAACAUCGAGUGAUCCUCAUAUUGGGGGUCUGUCCACCCGUCUAAAAAACGGGUGUUAGCAAGGGCCGGGCAAGACCGGUGCCAGCCGCCGCGGUAAUACCGGCGGCUCGAGUGGUGGCCGAUAUUAUUGAGUCUAAAGGGUCCGUAGCCGGCUUUGCAAGUCUCUCGGGAAAUCCAGCGGCUUAACCGUUGGUCGUCCGGGGGGUACUACAUUGCUUGGGACUGGGAGAGGUAGGAGGUACUCAGGGGGUAGGAGUGAAAUCCUGUAAUCCUUUGGGGACCACCGGUGGCGAAGGCGUCCUACCAGAACAGGUCCGACGGUGAGGGACGAAAGCUAGGGGCACGAACCGGAUUAGAUACCCGGGUAGUCCUAGCCGUAAACGAUGCUCGCUAGGUGUCACAACAGUCGUGAACUGUUGUGGUGCCGUAGGGAAGCCGUGAAGCGAGCCACUUGGGAAGUACGACCGCAAGGUUGAAACUUAAAGGAAUUGGCGGGGGAGCAC